Molecule: ribosomal RNA, 468 nt
Filed under: uncultured bacterium
Lineage: Bacteria
Description: partial 16S ribosomal RNA
Rfam family: Bacterial small subunit ribosomal RNA
Source: RNAcentral
GACGAACGCUGGCGGCGUGCUUAACACAUGCAAGUCGAACGGAAAGGCCCUGCUUUUGUGGGGUGCUCGAGUGGCGAAAGGGUGAGUAACACGUGAGUAACCUGCCCUUGACUUUGGGAUAACUUCAGGAAACUGGGGCUAAUACCGGAUAGGAGCUCCUGCUGCAUGGUGGGGGUUGGAAAGUUUCGGCGGUUGGGGAUGGACUCGCGGCUUAUCAGCUUGUUGGUGGGGUAGUGGCUUACCAAGGCUUUGACGGGUAGCCGGCCUGCGAGGGUGACCGGCCACAUUGGGACUGAGAUACGGCCCAGACUCCUACGGGAGGCAGCAGUGGGGAAUAUUGCACAAUGGGCGGAAGCCUGAUGCAGCAACGCCGCGUGCGGGAUGACGGCCUUCGGGUUGUAAACCGCUUUCGCCUGUGACGAAGCGUGAGUGACGGUAAUGGGUAAAGAAGCACCGGCUAACUACGUG